This 446-nucleotide long non-coding RNA is filed under the name Mus spicilegus (steppe mouse). RNAcentral's name for it is "lncRNA (ENSMSIG00000026245.1)". Lineage: Eukaryota; Metazoa; Chordata; Mammalia; Rodentia; Muridae. The record is from RNAcentral.
AGUGGCCGGCAGAGAGGCUAUGGGCAAGAGAGAGAACACAUGGCUCAGAGCACAUGGGCAAAUACAGCGCAUAUGGUGGCUGAAUUACAAAGCCAUUGCUGGAGAAGUGGAAACAGUGUGAGGAAUUUGAAAAGCCUGCUGCACGGUGUUGGCUCUUUUUAUUCCAGGAGGAGCCUUAGGUGCAGCAGCGUGGGUGCUUAACAAACAGUGGGUCUUUCUCAGGACACAUGGUGCUGGGAGGAAGGCUGAGAGUCUAGGAAUGGAGAAAACCAUGAUGGAGGCCCGAGCCAUUUUGCAGUACAUGUUCUUCACACUCAGGAAUGACUUCCCACAGCAGUGUCUCCAGACCUCUACUCAGCCUCUGUCGAGAAAGAAAAAAUUGGAGUGUUGCAAUCAAACUUGACAGAUAAAAAUGUUAAGUUCUACAUUAAAAAAAUUCUUCAGAG